This 385-nucleotide ribosomal RNA is filed under the name uncultured bacterium. RNAcentral describes it as "bacterial SSU rRNA". It matches the Rfam family "Bacterial small subunit ribosomal RNA", at positions 30 to 416 of the family's 1533-position model. The record is from RNAcentral.
AUUGAACGCUGGCGGCAUGCCUUACACAUGCAAGUCGAACGGCAGCGGGCCUUCGGGUGCCGGCGAGUGGCGAACGGGUGAGUAAUGCAUCGGAACGUGCCAUUGAGUGGGGGAUAACGUAGCGAAAGUUGCGCUAAUACCGCAUAUUCUGUGAGCAGGAAAGCAGGGGACCGCAAGGCCUUGCGCUCUUUGAGCGGCCGAUGUCAGAUUAGCUAGUUGGUGAGGUAAAGGCUUACCAAGGCGACGAUCUGUAGCGGGUCUGAGAGGAUGAUCCGCCACACUGGAACUGAGACACGGUCCAGACUCCUACGGGAGGCAGCAGUGGGGGAAUUUUGGACAAUGGGGGCAACCCUGAUCCAGCCAUGCCGCGUGAGUGAAGAAGGCC